RNAcentral lists this ribosomal RNA (650 nucleotides) under uncultured bacterium. Its description in RNAcentral is "bacterial SSU rRNA". It matches the Rfam family "Bacterial small subunit ribosomal RNA", at positions 223 to 863 of the family's 1533-position model. The record is from RNAcentral.
GGCUGAGUCUGCGUCCUAUCAGCUAGUUGGUAGGGUAACGGCCUACCAAGGCGACGACGGGUAGCUGGUCUGAGAGGAUGAUCAGCCACACUGGCACUGGAACACGGGCCAGACUCCUACGGGAGGCAGCAGUGAGGAAUUUUGCGCAAUGGGGGAAACCCUGACGCAGCAACGCCGCGUGGGUGAUGAAGGCCUUCGGGUCGUAAAGCCCUGUCAGGUGGGAAGAAUGUCCUGGGGAUGAAAAAGCCUUGGGAGUGACGGUACCACCAGAGGAAGCACCGGCUAACUCCGUGCCAGCAGCCGCGGUAAUACGGAGGGUGCGAGCGUUAUUCGGAAUUACUGGGCGUAAAGCGCGUGUAGGCGGCUUGACAAGUCUGAUGUGAAAGCCCUGGGCUCAACCUGGGAAGUGCAUUGGAAACUGUCAGGCUUGAGUACCGGAGAGGAUGGGGGAAUUCCCGGUGUAGAGGUGAAAUUCGUAGAGAUCGGGAGGAAUACCAGUGGCGAAGGCGCCCAUCUGGACGGUAACUGACGCUGAGACGCGAAAGCGUGGGGAGCAAACAGGAUUAGAUACCCUGGUAGUCCACGCUGUAAACGAUGAGCACUAGGUGUAGCGGGUAAUCAUUCCUGCUGUGCCGCAGCUAACGCGUUAA